AUUGAACGCUGGCGGCAGGCCUAACACAUGCAAGUCGGGCGAGCGGCGGACGGGUGAGUAAUGUCUGGGGAUCUGCCUGAUGGCGGGGGAUAACUACUGGAAACGGUAGCUAAUACCGCAUACCAUCAGAUGAACCCCUAUGGGAUUAGCUAGUAGGUAAGGUAACGGCUUACCUAGGCGACGAUCCCUAGCUGGGCUGAGAGGAUGGUCAGCACCACUGGGACUGAGACAAGGCCCAGACUCCGACGGGCGGCAGCAGUGGGGAAUUUUGGAAAAUGGGGGAAACUCUGAUCCAGCCAUCCCGCAUGUAUGAUGAAGGCCUUCGGGGUGUAAUGUACUUUUGGCAGAGAAGCGGUAGCUGCAGAAUAAGCACCGGCUAACUACGUGCCAGCAGCCGCGGUAAUAC
RNAcentral lists this ribosomal RNA (406 nucleotides) under uncultured bacterium. RNAcentral describes it as "partial 16S ribosomal RNA". It matches the Rfam family "Bacterial small subunit ribosomal RNA", at positions 30 to 526 of the family's 1533-position model. The record is from RNAcentral.